AGGUGCGAUCAUACCAGCACUAAUGCACCGAAUCCCAUCAGAACUACAUAGUCAAGCGUGCUUCGACAAGAGUAGUACUAGGAUGGGUUAUCUCCUAGGAAGUCCUCGUGUUGCACCUC
This 119-nucleotide ribosomal RNA is filed under the name Lupinus angustifolius (narrow-leaved blue lupine). The record is from RNAcentral. Lineage: Eukaryota; Viridiplantae; Streptophyta; Magnoliopsida; Fabales; Fabaceae.